This is a non-coding RNA of Varroa destructor (honeybee mite), 3439 nucleotides long. NCBI's taxonomy places the organism in Eukaryota, Metazoa, Arthropoda, Arachnida, Mesostigmata, Varroidae. The record is from RefSeq and is a predicted model, not a curated record.
UAAGAAAUAUAAUCUCACUAAACGUACAUAUAAUAUAGUGGGCGCCGUAUUUUUCCAUUUUAUAAAUAGGGAUGUAAAGAACGUUGAUGCCGGAGAAAGAUUAAAGUUAAAUGCAGUAUGCCUACAUCCCUCUUUUAGCCCCAUUUCUUCGCUGUCGUUCGAUGGCUCGAUUAGCGCACGAUGCAAUGUGAGUUGCAAGAUGCUCGUUUGAGUGAUAGGUUUCUUCCAACUCGGUUCUGUUGUUUUCCUCGUCGUUGAUUACCUGUCUCUUAAUUUUGACUGUUCUUGCUGUUCUAUUCAAUGGUGCCUCACGUCUUCACUGGAUAUUCAUCUCUAGCCAGUGAACCGGUCAGGGACAAUCUGUCGACCGAAUUCGUCGGCCAACGAUCCCACGUACUCCGGUGUGUACUUAGAUCGAUGAUCUUCUAUUCUCCGUAGAAAUUACUGACAAAUAGUGAAAUCUCAUCGUUUCCAGUGUUAUGAUGCCGAAGUAUUGAGAGGUUGUUUUCGCGAGACCAGCGACGACUGACGAGCCAUGCGAUGCUACAGUACGCGUUAACCACGUCCAGUACUAUUCGAUCGUAAGCGCCAAAGCCGAUAGCGGCGAAACCGAAAUACGAGGGAUCGUUAUCAGAUUUAUCAUCAUGGUUCCGACAAAAUGCCUCAAGCAUCUCAACGAGACGUUCGUGCAACGGAAUAGCGAAAGCGGAAUGGAACCGAGUUUCUACGAGCCUAACGAUAUACGUGGCUGCUUUAAGUGUGCGAGGGAAAUUAAGAUAUACCAUGCUAUUCGUCGGACCUCGCCGCCAUCUUUAGGUCAUCUGGAAUCGAACUAGACGGACGGACGACGCGUAUGAUCACGGAGCGUGAACAGAUCUGUUUCACAGUUACUUUUAGGAAGGUAACCUUCAAGCAGAUAUCGUGGCCCUAUAAAAUCGUGACGGCCUAUUGCGACUAGAUACUAGUGGCGUCAUCUAGGCUGAACCUGACGAAGGUACCCCUAUGCUAAGCUUAUCCUUGGAGUCAAGCAGUUGCAACGUGCCGAAAGCAUCAUCCGGCUUAAGGAGCCUGUCGGACGCUUCUAACUCUAAAAUCUCACGAAUGUCUGGAACCGGCUCCUUAACGUCCUUACAAGCUUUUCAGAAAGGAGUGGCGAGUAGAAGUAAGGCAACUCCAAUCUGCUGUUAGAACCCUGCGCGAUACCCUGCCUGUGGUCGACAACUCAGUGAGCCCUACGUCGAGUCCAUUCAGGUGAUACCAGAACAGGAACAACGUUGGAUCUAUGACAUUUGGAGCGUGCCCUUUAGAAUACGAAGACAGCUACAGUUAACAACUGAAAUUCUAUGGGCGCAAAUUUACACCGAUAAAUCUACUCCGAGUCCGCCGGUGCUCUCGAAACGAAGGCCAUUUUAUCAAAACUUGUAGGUCGUCUCCACAGCUCAAGCUGACUCUAGCUCUCAGCUGAGUUUAACUACAUAAGUGGUAUAGGAUAUAGCUUGUGAGCUAAAGGUGCAAGAACGAUCAAUUCCUGUAUGUUGAAUUAUGUCUUUAAUAAAUAGACAUUAUACAGACAACUAUUCAGGGUCGUGAAAUGCUUAUAUACUAAGAUAUCAAUCGAGUUAUAAUACCGAACGUAAAUUCUCGUAUCUAUGUAAUGUUGGUAGGCUUAAUCUAAAGUGUCGACAUCUUUUCAUAUAUGACGAACUCUCCCUAUACAUAUACAAAUUGGAUCGACUAUUGCAUAUCAGAUUGUCAGAAGGUGACGCCAUUUUUAACCUCGUAUGGUCUACCUGUGAGUAUUACAAACGAGACAGGCAAUGCGUCGGUUUCUAGUGUGUCGCAACGUAAUUUCGAUGGUUACUAUUUGCUGCUGAGUUGGAACGAGGAUUUCGACUCGCGUUCAUAAUGUCUAAUGUAUGAUAUUGUAUCGACCUGGCUAAUAAACAAUACUCGGUGUAGCCUUUUUUGGAGAUUGAUCAUUGAAUCGAGGCCGGCCCGAUUCUGGCCAGCUUGCCGUUGUUAAAUGCCUGAGUUCAAUAAGCACGACCCAGGCCGCUGGCAGUCCCAGUGCACAUAUGUAUAAAGUUCGCCAUAUAACCUGCAGUCCAUGCCCCAUCAACAUGCAUAGAAAAUGCAUACGGUGAAAUGAAAAACAAGACCCGCACGACGCAGCGGGAUAGCUACAAUUGUUGGCUUGUUUAUAUUGUGCUUGUUGUCACCGGAGCGAUGGGUAUUACUUGACGCAUUUAGAACCCAAACAAGACAAAAGCACAUAAACCAGACCUUUGUCGGCUUAGUAAAAGGCCAUAAUGCUAUACGAUAUAGUAUCGCGCACGAAUACAGUUUUGUUGCGUGCAUGUGGGAGAGGCAAAGCAAAAGGCAUUGAGUUAUUAUGCAAACAAACUAAAAUGUCAACUUACUCGCAGCCAUAUUCGCCUGUCCGCUAUUCAGGCUCAACCGUCUAACGAAACACUUCACGAUGUCAAUGCUGUCGUUGGCUGGGGUCUAACCGUCCGUGAUGGAUGGCGUCUAUCAAGAAGAGUUAAUGUGGCUUGGCCGUCAUUGUUUUAAUUAGUUCUUCUUGAAGUCUCUUUAUUUAUUCCUCGUUUGAAAACGUAACGCGGGAAGCUGAUGAUGCGUCUAAUUUGAGAUUAAAUCGGGACGCAAACUCGAAUUACCAUCUCUGAGUGUUUAUACUUGCCCUUUUCCUUAGCAAAAUUCUACAGAUAUCUAGAUUCAUGUACAGGAUCGGGCGAGGCGAGAGAUAACUGAUACUCUGGUUGAAUUAAAGCGGCAAGCUAUCUCAGCGAAACGAUAGCAGAAGCUGAAAGAGACGAUUUUUUAUCCAAGGAAUACCAUAAUUUCCUAUUUGUCCCUGUGCCUGGCAGAAGGGGCGGUUAAUUAGAGUAAAAAGCGAAUCUAUUCGCUCACUUUCUUUCCUUUAACAAGAGUGCAUCACAUUUAGAUUGGCAUGUUAACAUAUCGCUUGUAUCAAAAACGGUCUCCAUAGGGCAAAAGUUGCCACUUAGAACGAUAGAAACCUCUACCGUGUUUCACAAAAGUAACCAGAGUUGAUCGCCAAAAUGGUCAAAUGACCAAUUUUGUCAAAGUGUUGCUAAUGUAUCGUGUGAAUGCAACAAACUAUCUGCGGCAUUGAAACAUACUUUCGACAGACGACGAUGUUUGUAGAAUGUUAAACUUUUAAAUAAAAAUCAUUUAUUGGUCAAAAGGUAGCGGAGAAUUCUUUACUCUACGAGCUGCUAAGAAACUGACCGAUCCAAGAUCUCUUAUGUGCUCAACGGAUCGAUAUAAUCCUAAUCCUAGAAAAAAAAAAACAAAAUCUAUAAAAAUCUUACAAAAGAAACUGCUCGAUGUCAUCUUCAUGAUGUAAUCUGCUGACAUAUAAACUAGUGCGUAAAUCUUCACUAUUUUCUAUACC